RNAcentral lists this ribosomal RNA (433 nucleotides) under uncultured bacterium. RNAcentral's name for it is "partial 16S ribosomal RNA". It matches the Rfam family "Bacterial small subunit ribosomal RNA", at positions 29 to 507 of the family's 1533-position model. The record is from RNAcentral.
AACGAACGCUGGCGGCAUGCCUAACACAUGCAAGUCGAACGAGACCUUCGGGUCUAGUGGCGCACGGGUGCGUAACGCGUGGGAACCUGCCCUUAGGUUCGGAAUAACUCCCCGAAAGGGGUGCUAAUACCGGAUAAUGUCUUCGGACCAAAGAUUUAUCGCCUUUGGAUGGGCCCGCGUUGGAUUAGCUUGUUGGUAGGGUAAAAGCAUACCAAGGCGACGAUCCAUAGCUGGUCUGAGAGGAUGAUCAGCCACACUGGGACUGAGACACGGCCCAGACUCCUACGGGAGGCAGCAGUGGGGAAUAUUGGACAAUGGGCGAAAGCCUGAUCCAGCAAUGCCGCGUGAGUGAUGAAGGCCUUAGGGUUGUAAAGCUCUUUUACCCGGGAUGAUAAUGACAGUACCGGGAGAAUAAGCUCCGGCUAACUCCGUG